This is a long non-coding RNA of Mauremys reevesii (Reeves's turtle), 513 nucleotides long. RefSeq lists it as uncharacterized. The record is from RefSeq and is a predicted model, not a curated record. The transcript is spliced from 6 exons. NCBI's taxonomy places the organism in Eukaryota, Metazoa, Chordata, Testudines, Geoemydidae.
AGCCGAGAGGCAGAAGAUCGUCUGGGAGUGGCAGGAGCUACGAGGGUUUCUGGAGGAGCAGGAGCAGCGGCUGCUGUCCCGGCUGGAGGAGCUAGAGAGAGCCGUUGUCCAGAGAAGGGAUGAGGGCAUCUGCAGCCUGUCCCGGGACAUUUCCCUGCUCAGGGAGAGGGGAGGAGAGAAGGGGCAGCAGCUGCUGAGUCAACCUCUGCAGGGUGCUGGGAGCACUGGGGGAAGCAGGGAGGAUGGGAGAUUUUGGAAGCCAGAGCCGGGGUAUGUGGAGCUGGAGAAGAGACUCCACCAUUUCUCUCUGAAAAGUUCCCACCUGCAGGAGGUGCUGCUGGGAUUCAAAGAGACGCUGCGACAGGAGCUGGGGAGUGACACAGGCUGCAGAAUAACAUCCCUGAGUCAUUCAGGAUUCUCCCAGCCUGCGCGGGGAAGGGAAAUGGGUGCAGCAGAGCUGGCUCAGGGGCCGGUGACCUUCGAGGAGGUGGCUGUGUAUUUCACCAGGGAAGA